RNAcentral lists this ribosomal RNA (442 nucleotides) under uncultured bacterium. RNAcentral describes it as "partial 16S ribosomal RNA". It matches the Rfam family "Bacterial small subunit ribosomal RNA", at positions 338 to 795 of the family's 1533-position model. The record is from RNAcentral.
CCUACGGGAGGCAGCAGUGGGGAAUAUUGGUCAAUGGGCGCAAGCCUGACCCAGCGACGCCGCGUGAAGGAAGAAGGCUUUCGGGUUGUAAACCUCUUUUAAGGGGGAAGAGCAGAAGACGGUACUCCUUGAAUAAGCCACGGCUAACUACGUGCCAGCAGCCGCGGUAAUACGUAGGGGGCAAGCGUUUUCCGGAUUUACUGGGUGUAAAGGGCGGUCAGCCGGGAAGGCAAGUCUGAUGUGAAAGCCCGGGGCUCAACCCCGGGACUGCAUUUGAAACUGUUUUUCUAGAGUAUUGGAGAGGUAAGUGGAAUUCCUAGUGUAGCGGUGAAAUGCGUAGAUAUUAGGAAGAACACCAGUGGCGAAGGCGGAUUACUGGACAACAACUGACGGUGAGGCGCGAAAGCGUGGGGAGCAAACAGGAUUAGAUACCCCAGUAGUC